This is a long non-coding RNA of Dipodomys spectabilis (banner-tailed kangaroo rat), 891 nucleotides long. RefSeq lists it as uncharacterized. The transcript has 4 exons. The record is from RefSeq and is a predicted model, not a curated record. Lineage: Eukaryota; Metazoa; Chordata; Mammalia; Rodentia; Heteromyidae.
UUCAGAACAGCCAGGUUUCUACUUAGAGGAAACUCAGCCUAAGGUCUGAGUGAGUGCCUCUGCUUCGGCCAGAAGUCUGUACCCUCCCUGGACUGCACAAACGCUGACGUGGCCUUGGAGUUUUCAGUCAAAGAAAUCUUGGCAUUUUCUGAGUCUACAAUGUAAAAUCUGGAAACAUCAAACCUGGAAUCGAUGGGAGCGGAAAAUCAAUACAGCACGCUGGAGGGGAAGAUGGAGAGUUAAAACGUCUCUUUACACGGAAAGCACUGGACAUCUGUAUUCAUGAACACCCAAUGAAACACUCAAAGUCCCACCACUAGAGAAGCGGCUUGCUUGAGUAAGAUCAUUCUGGGAAGACUGAUUGAUUGACUUUACAAAGGGACCAUCUACAAAGAGAGACUCCCUUGUAGAGAGUGUAAAGGAAACACAAGAGGAUCUGGUAACCACUCCAGAAGUAACUCCAUCAAGUUUGAACAGAACUUCCCAGUUUUAAUUCUUGAAUUCCCAGGUGCUGGGCGGAUAAGAUCUCCCUCCAUUUCUUGCAAACUAGGUAGUUUCUCAUCCUCCCUUAGGCGAAGGUAGGGAGGAAGGGAGUGGUUAUGAAAACCUAAAGAGAAAUACAGAACCAGUGAAGAAAAUGAUGAUACUCAGACAAGGUCAUGUUCUACCCAAAGUGACUUCACAGGACCUUGUCAAGUAAAAAGAAACCCUCACCCACUCCUCUCCUUCCUUCUAAAGGCCUGCCAAGGUUUGGCAUUGAGCUCCUCAUGAGACAAAGCCAACCACAAGCCUGGUCCACAGAGCAUUGAAAAAGAUACAGAAUAGCUGAAUGCUGGUGGCUCAUGGCUGCAAUCCUAACUACUCUGGAAGCUAAGAUCUCAGGAUCGCAGC